UACGGGGGGGGGCAAGCGUUGUUCGGAAUUACUGGGCGUAAAGGGCUCGUAGGCGGCCAACUAAGUCGGACGUGAAAUCCCUCGGCUUAACCGGGGAACUGCGUCCGAUACUGGAUGGCUUGAGAUUGGGAGAGGGAUGCGGAAUUCCAGGUGUAGCGGUGAAAUGCGUAGAUAUCUGGAGGAACACCAAUUGCGAAGGCAGCACUCUGGGACGUGACUGACGCUGAGACGCGAAAGCGUGGGGAGCAAACAGG
This 254-nucleotide ribosomal RNA is filed under the name uncultured bacterium. Its description in RNAcentral is "partial 16S ribosomal RNA". It matches the Rfam family "Bacterial small subunit ribosomal RNA", at positions 524 to 776 of the family's 1533-position model. The record is from RNAcentral.